RNAcentral lists this small RNA (127 nucleotides) under Marmota monax (woodchuck). The record is from RNAcentral. Lineage: Eukaryota; Metazoa; Chordata; Mammalia; Rodentia; Sciuridae.
ACCAGGUGUGGUGGCGCAUGCCUGUAAUCCCAGCGGCUCAGGAGGCUGAGCCAGGAGAAUUAAGAGUUCAAAGCCAACCUCAGCAACUUUGUGAGGCCCUAAGCAACUCAGUGAGACCCUGUCUCUA